GAUCAUUACUGAAGAACGGGGUAAGGUUGAGCUGGCUUCUAGGAGCAAUGUGCUUGCCUUGUCGCUUUUUCUACUCUCCACUGUGCACCUCUUGUAGGCUAUGAUAAACCCUCAGUCCCUUCGACUGGAUGGAGGACCUGCCGUUUGGCUUGCCCCUCACCCUUUCAUAGCCUAUGUCUACAUAACACACACUAAGUCUUAUUGAAUGGUAAACUUUGUUGGUCUUCACUGACCGAUAAAAACUAUAUACAACUUUCAGCAACGGAUCUCUUGGCUCUCGCAUCGAUGAAGAACGCAGCGAAAUGCGAUAAGUAAUGUGAAUUGCAGAAUUCAGUGAAUCAUCGAAUCUUUGAACGCACCUUGCACUCCUUGGUAUUCCGAGGAGUAUGCCUGUUUGAGUGUCAUUAACUUCUCAAACCUUUCAAGCUUUUUUUUAUAUAGCUUGUUAAAGGCUUUGGAUGUGAGGGUCUUUGCUGGUACCUCUUUUUUUGAGGGUCUCAGCUCCCUUGAAAUGCAUUAGUGGUUAACUUGACCCGCUUUCAUUUGGUGUGAUAGUUAUCUACGCCUUUGAAAUGGUCACUUUGCUAUCCGCUCCUAAACCGGGGUCUGUCUAUAGACGGACUCUCUUGAACCUUUUGACCUCAAAUCAGGUAGGACUACCCGCUGAACUUAAGCAUAUCAAUAAGCGGAGGAAAAGAAACUAACAAGGAUUCCCUUAGUAACUGCGAGUGAACAGGGAAAAGCUCAAAUUUAAAAUCUGGCAGUCAGUUUGGCUGUCCGAGUUGUAAUUUAGAGAAGUGUUACCCGUGCUGGACCGUAUACAAGUCCUCUGGAAUGGGGCGUCAUAGAGGGUGAGAAUCCCGUCUUUGAUACGGACUACCAGUGCUUUGUGGUGUGCUCUCGAAGAGUCGAGUUGUUUGGGAAUGCAGCUCAAAAUGGGUGGUAAAUUCCAUCUAAAGCUAAAUACAGGCGAGAGACCGAUAGCGAACAAGUACCGUGAGGGAAAGAUGAAAAGAACUUUGGAAAGAGAGUUAAACAGUACGUGAAAUUGCUGAAAGGGAAACGCUUGAAGUCAGUCGCGUUGGCUGAGAAUCAGCCUUGCUUUUACUGCUUGGUGUACUUCUCAGUCGAUGGGUCAGCAUCAGUUUUGACUGCUGGAUAAAGCUCAAGGGAAUGUGGCAUCUUCGGAUGUGUUAUAGCCCCUGUUCGUAUACAGCAGUUGGGACUGAGGAACUCAGCACGCCGCAAGGCCGGGUUUUUAACCACGUACGUGCUUAGGAUGCUGGCAUAAUGGCUUUAAUCGACCCGUCU
This 1311-nucleotide unclassified non-coding RNA is filed under the name Clitocybula sp. RNAcentral describes it as "sequence contains 18S rRNA gene, ITS1, 5.8S rRNA gene, ITS2 and 28S rRNA gene". The stretch from base 637 to 1311 matches the Rfam family "Eukaryotic large subunit ribosomal RNA", at positions 1 to 654 of the family's 3401-position model. Lineage: Eukaryota; Fungi; Basidiomycota; Agaricomycetes; Agaricales; Porotheleaceae. The record is from RNAcentral.